RNAcentral lists this ribosomal RNA (719 nucleotides) under uncultured Fusobacterium sp. RNAcentral's name for it is "bacterial SSU rRNA". It matches the Rfam family "Bacterial small subunit ribosomal RNA", at positions 28 to 776 of the family's 1533-position model. The record is from RNAcentral. Lineage: Bacteria; Fusobacteriati; Fusobacteriota; Fusobacteriia; Fusobacteriales; Fusobacteriaceae.
GAUCAACGCUGCCCAUGCUACACAUCCAAGUCGACACAGUCUCGGAAUGGGUGGCAGCACAGAGAAUAACACGUAAAGAACUUGCAUCUUAGACCGGGACAACAUCUGGAAACGGAUGCUAAUACAGGAUCUUAUGGUUUUUUUCGCAAGCAAGGAAUCAUGAAAGUAAGAUGCACUAAGAGAGAGCUUUGCAUCACAUUAACUGGUUGGUGAGGUAACGGCACACCAAGGCAAUGAUGGGUUGCCGGCCUGAGAGGGUGAACGGCCACAAGGGGACUGAGACACGGCCCUUACUCCUACGGGAGGCAGCAGUGGGGAAUAUUGGACAAUGGACCGCAAGUCUGAUCCAGCAAUUCUGUGUGCACGAUGACGUUUUUCGGAAUGUAAAGUGCUUUCAGUCGGGAAGAAGUCAGUGACGGUACCGACAGAAGAAGCGACGGCUAAAUACGUGCCAGCAGCCGCGGUAAUACGUAUGUCGCAAGCGUUAUCCGGAUUUAUUGGGCGUAAAGCGCGUCUAGGCGGCAAGGAAAGUCUGAUGUGAAAAUGCGGAGCUCAACUCCGUAUGGCGUUGGAAACUGCCUUACUAGAGUACUGGAGAGGUAGGCGGAACUACAAGUGUAGAGGUGAAAUUCGUAGAUAUUUGUAGGAAUGCCGAUGGGGAAGCCAGCCUACUGGACAGAUACUGACGCUAAAGCGCGAAAGCGUGGGUAGCAAACAGG